Molecule: ribosomal RNA, 540 nt
Filed under: uncultured bacterium
Lineage: Bacteria
Description: bacterial SSU rRNA
Rfam family: Bacterial small subunit ribosomal RNA
Source: RNAcentral
AAUAGAUACCCAGGUAGUCCACGCCGUAAACGAUGAGUGCUAAGUGUUAGAGGGUUUCCGCCCUUUAGUGCUGCAGCUAACGCAUUAAGCACUCCGCCUGGGGAGUACGGCCGCAAGGCUGAAACUCAAAGGAAUUGACGGGGGCCCGCACAAGCGGUGGAGCAUGUGGUUUAAUUCGAAGCAACGCGAAGAACCUUACCAGGUCUUGACAUCCUCUGACCUCCCUGGAGACAGGGCCUUCCCCUUCGGGGGACAGAGUGACAGGUGGUGCAUGGUUGUCGUCAGCUCGUGUCGUGAGAUGUUGGGUUAAGUCCCGCAACGAGCGCAACCCUUGACCUUAGUUGCCAGCAUUCAGUUGGGCACUCUAAGGUGACUGCCGGUGACAAACCGGAGGAAGGUGGGGAUGACGUCGAAAUCAUCAUGCCCCUUAUGACCUGGGCUACACACGUGCUACAAUGGAUGGUACAAAGGGCUGCGAGACCGCGAGGUUAAGCCAAUCCCAGAAAACCAUUCCCAGUUCGGAUUGCAGGCUGCAACCCG